Molecule: ribosomal RNA, 463 nt
Filed under: Bellamya heudi
Lineage: Eukaryota; Metazoa; Mollusca; Gastropoda; Architaenioglossa; Viviparidae
Description: eukaryotic LSU rRNA
Rfam family: Eukaryotic large subunit ribosomal RNA
Source: RNAcentral
ACGGGCUUGGCGGAAUCAGCGGGGAAAGAAGACCCUGUUGAGCUUGACUCUAGUCCGACUUUGUGAAGAGACAUGAGANGGUGUAGCAUAGGUGGGAGCUUCNCGGCGACCUUGAAAUACCACUACUUUUAUCGUUUCUUUACUUAUUCAGUUGAGCGGAGAGCGGGGCGCAAGCCCCUCGCUUCUGGAGUUAAGGCGGCCGUGCCUCCGCGGCUCGCCGCCGAUCCGCUCUGAAGACAGUGUCAGGCGGGGAGUUUGACUGGGGCGGUACAUCUGUCAAAAGGUAACGCAGGUGUCCUAAGGCGAGCUCAGCGAGGACGGAAACCUCGCGUAGAGCAAAAGGGCAAAAGCUCGCUUGAUUUUGAUUUUCAGUACGAAUACAGACCGUGAAAGCGUGGCCUAUCGAUCCUUUUGACUUUAGGAGUUUUAAGCAAGAGGUGUCAGAAAAGUUACCACAGGGAUA